Molecule: ribosomal RNA, 305 nt
Filed under: uncultured bacterium
Lineage: Bacteria
Description: bacterial SSU rRNA
Rfam family: Bacterial small subunit ribosomal RNA
Source: RNAcentral
UCCUACGGGACGCAGCAGUUGGGAAUAUUGGACAAUGGAGGAAACUCUGAUCCAGUGACGCCGCGUGAAGGAAGAAGGUCUUCGGAUUGUAAACUUAUUUUAUCAGGGAAGAAAAAAAUGACUGUACCUGAAGAAGAAGCACCGGCUAACUACGUGCCAGCAGCCGCGGUAAUACGUAGGGUGCAAGCGUUAUCCGGAUUUACUGGGUGUAAAGGGAGCGUAGACGGCAGCGCAAGUCUGGAGUGAAAUGCCGGGGCCCAACCCCGGAACUGCUCUGGAAACUGUGAAGCUGGAGUGCAGGAGAG